Molecule: ribosomal RNA, 253 nt
Filed under: uncultured bacterium
Lineage: Bacteria
Description: partial 16S ribosomal RNA
Rfam family: Bacterial small subunit ribosomal RNA
Source: RNAcentral
UACGGAGGGAGCAAGCGUUACUCGGAAUUAUUGGGCGUAAAGGGCGCGUAGGCGAUUUGACAAGUCACCUGUGAAAUCCCAGGGCCUAACCCUGGAAGUGCAGGUGAUACUGUUGAAUUUGAGUUCCGGAGAGGAAGGCAGAAUUCCCGGUGUAGCGGUGAAAUGCGUAGAUAUCGGGAGGAAUACCAGUGGCGAAGGCGGCCUUCUGGACGGAUACUGACGCUGAGGCGCGAAAGCCAGGGGAGCAAACGGG